AGUGAACGCUGGCGGUAGGCCUAACACAUGCAAGUCGAACGGCAGCACAGUAAGAGCUUGCUCUUACGGGUGGCGAGUGGCGGACGGGUGAGGAAUACAUCGGAAUCUACUUUUUCGUGGGGGAUAACGUAGGGAAACUUACGCUAAUACCGCAUACGACCUACGGGUGAAAGCAGGGGAUCUUCGGACCUUGCGCGAUUGAAUGAGCCGAUGUCGGAUUAGCUAGUUGGCGGGGUAAAGGCCCACCAAGGCGACGAUCCGUAGCUGGUCUGAGAUGAUGGCCAGCCAACGUGGAGAGGCGACACGGCACAGACUCCUACGGGAGGCAGCCGUGGGGAAUCAUGGACACUCGUCCAAAGCCUGAUACAGCAAUGUGGCGGGGGUGAACAAGGAUCUCGGUUUGUGUCCCCGUUUUCUAGGGAAAUACAAGCAGCAUUUCAAUCCCCUGCUGUUCUGACGGACCCAAAAGAAUAAGCACCUGCUACCUUCCUGCCAGCACCCUCCGUAAUAAUGGAACGCGCACUCCCCUGAUC
This 533-nucleotide ribosomal RNA is filed under the name uncultured bacterium. RNAcentral's name for it is "partial 16S ribosomal RNA". It matches the Rfam family "Bacterial small subunit ribosomal RNA", at positions 38 to 536 of the family's 1533-position model. The record is from RNAcentral.